This 502-nucleotide long non-coding RNA is filed under the name Nicotiana tabacum (common tobacco). RNAcentral's name for it is "long non-coding RNA (NTAB_LNC011227)". Lineage: Eukaryota; Viridiplantae; Streptophyta; Magnoliopsida; Solanales; Solanaceae. The record is from RNAcentral.
GAUUGCAUGAAAAAGCUCAGUUUAGAGUUUAAAACUCUCUAAUGCUGGCUGAAAGGAAAAAGUUCAGUUUAGGGUUUAAAACCCUAAUGCUGACUAAAAGGAAAAUUCAGUCUAGGGUUUAAAACCCUAAUGCUGAUUGCAUGAAAAAGCUCAGUUUAGAGUUUAAAACUCUAAUGCUGGCUAAAAGGAAAAAGUUCAGUUUAGGGUUUAAAACCCUAAUGCUGACUAAAAGGAAAACUCAGUUUAGGGUUUAAAACCCUAAUGCUGAUUGCAUGAAAAAGCUCAGUUUAGAGUUUAAAACUCUAAUGCUGGCUAAAAGGAAAAGUUCAGUUUAAGGUUUAAAACCCUAAUGCUGACUAAAGGGAAAAUUCAGUUUAGGGUUUAAAACCCUAACGCUGAUUGCAUGAAAAAGCUCAGUUUAGAGUUUAAGACUCUAAUGCUGGCUAAAAGGAAAAGUUCAGUUUAAGGUUUAAAACCCUAAUGCUGACUAAAAGGAGAAUUC